This 333-nucleotide ribosomal RNA is filed under the name Triticum aestivum (bread wheat). RNAcentral's name for it is "partial small subunit ribosomal RNA". Lineage: Eukaryota; Viridiplantae; Streptophyta; Magnoliopsida; Poales; Poaceae. The record is from RNAcentral.
AUGCAGUUUUUGUUGCGUUUGCUUUCAAGCUUUUUUAUUUUCAUGUUUUUUGUUUUGUGUUCUUUGUUGUCGAUACAGAAAGUGCCAGAGAGGGUUGCUACAAGCUUGAACAUCCCUAAAAAAGGGUUGGCUUGUGUUCGUCUAAGCAGUGGGGAGGCAAAGACUCGUGUUGAAUACAGCACGUCUACUGAUGGACGUAUAGCUUUCAACAAAAAGCAGUGGAGGCGUUUCCUUUCAAAGACUACCCUGGAAAUCAAUGACUGCAUCUUCAUGUUCUUCAAGGCCAGCAGCAAGUCUUGCAUGAAUGUUACUGUUGUCGUCAGCAAGCUUUAA